UUCAUUAGUAGGUCAUCAAGAAAGAUUCAGUGACCACCUAAUGACCAGCUGUGAUCAUUAAUGAGGAGGUCUGUAUUCUUGAGCUCUCAGCUUUUCCAGAGGACAGUGGAGCUCACUUGCUGGAACACAGAUGCUCGCAGCUGCAGGUAUAUAUUCUUCAUGGGAAAUGCAACGAUUUUGUGAGAAGCAGUGAUAAUCAUCAGACAUCUUCUGCAACCUUUUUCUAAAAGAAUUCUCAAAGAUGUGUUAAAGAAGUGAAUUCAGAGCCAUGAACAACAUCUAGAAAUGCUGAGGGCCAAGACGAUAGAAAUGUCAAGUGUGCUUAAAUAUGGGGCUUCCUUUUACUGCACAAUGUAAAGCAUUUACAGCACUUAUGCACAGGCAAUGUCUACACACUUACAAGCGUGCCAUUUAUCUGUAAUAUUGACACCUCAAAAUGAAAUUGUAAAAGGCCAAGGCAGAUGGAAUCAAAAUCUCUCACACGCAAAUAACAUUCAUUCCAUUCACUUUAGAGGAAAAAGUACUGAUGAAA
Molecule: long non-coding RNA, 532 nt
Organism: Numida meleagris (helmeted guineafowl)
Lineage: Eukaryota; Metazoa; Chordata; Aves; Galliformes; Numididae
Exons: 2
Source: RefSeq, a predicted model, not a curated record